UGCAGUCGAGCGAACUGACGAGGAGCUUGCUCCUUUGACGUUAGCGGGGACGGGUGAGUAACACGUGGGUAACCUACCUAUAAGACUGGAAUAACUCCGGGAAACCGGGGCUAAUGCCGGAUAACAUAUCGAACCGCAUGGAUCGAUAGUGAAAGACGGCCUUGCUGUCACUUAUACAUGGACCCGCGCCGUAUUAGCUAGUUGGUGAGGUAACGGCUCACCAAGGCCACGAUACGUAUCCGACCUGAGAGGGUGAUCGGCCACACUGGAACUGAGACACAGUCCAGACUCCUACGGGAGGCAGCAGUAGGGAAUCUUCCGCAAUGGGCGAAAGCCUGACGGAGCAACGCCGCGUGAGUGAUGAAGGUCUUCGGAUCGUAAAGCUCUGUUGUUAGGGAAGAACAAAUGUGUAAGUAACUAUGCGCAUCUUGACGGUACCUAACCAGAAAGCCACGGCUAACUACGUGCCAGCAGCCGCGGUAAUACGUAGGUGGCAAGCGUUAUCCGGAAUUAUUGGGCGUAAAGCGCGCGUAUGCGGUUUUUUAAGUCUGAUGUGAAAGCCCACGGCUCAACCGGGGAGGGACAUUGGAAACUGGAAAACUUGAGUGCAGAAGAGGAAAGUGGAAUUCCAUGUGUAGCGGUGAAAUGCUCAGAGAUAUGGAGGAACACCAGUGCCGACCGCGGCUUUCUGACCUGUAACUGACGCUGAUGUGCGAA
RNAcentral lists this ribosomal RNA (717 nucleotides) under Staphylococcus chromogenes. RNAcentral describes it as "bacterial SSU rRNA". It matches the Rfam family "Bacterial small subunit ribosomal RNA", at positions 56 to 757 of the family's 1533-position model. Lineage: Bacteria; Bacillati; Bacillota; Bacilli; Caryophanales; Staphylococcaceae. The record is from RNAcentral.